AAGCCAACACCAAGAACAAGCUACCGUGAGCUUGGAGAAGAAGAAAGGCAGCAUCGGGUGAGCUAGGAGAAGAGAGAAAAAAAAAAGAAAAAAAAAAGAAAGGGAACUUUGUUGGAGAGUUAGAGCUCAAGGAUACAUCUCCUCAAAGAAUCGGCCAGCUAGGGGGUAUGAUUAAGGAUUUGAGGUAAACCAAUUUCCUAACUCUUGAUUCUUGUGGUAAAACAUAUGAUUGAUGAUUGGAAGUUGAAUCUAACUAGCUAGGAACUGAUUUGAACGGCUGGAAAUUCGUUUGAUUGGGUAGAAAUGAACUUCAAGUGUUCCUUUUCUGUCAAGAUUUCUGUCCGAAAUUAGUCUGAAAUUUCGAACAUGUUGGGAGCUGAUUUGGCCUUAGAUCAAAGAAGGAAAGUUGUAGAUAAUGGUAUUUUAUAGGUGCCUACAAAAUUUCAGCUCAAUCGGAGCAACGUAGGAUGUGAAAAGUCCAAAAUACCCUUACUAUUUUAAGUAUUUCCCAAGCAGUCCGUGUGAUCAGUUAAGUCCAGUUUAUCACGUUUUUCGACUAGGAUCCAUUAUGUUUUAGCUUUUUUCCAAAACAUGAAAGUUGUAGUAUUCUGAAUUAGCUUUCAAAUGCCUCUAAGAACACCUGAUUCGGACUUGUGUACUCUGAGAUAUGUCCAUUACAGUGUUCUGCGUUUAAACAGCCGACGAAUUGGUUUCUGGUUUAGUAAUUUGAGAAUUUGACUAAGUUACAUUAGGAACUGGACUAAGUGACCUUCAUGAAUGUUGUAGCUCUGUGUCUUAGCUUCGAAACGGCAUAGGUUUUGUCUCAAUCCGAUAAGCGUAGCUUCGGAUAUGUUAUUUCCGCAUUCGUACGUCAAAUCUGUCUUGUGCUAAGUUGAAUUUCUGCACUUGUGAUUGUUGUAAUUCUUAUUCUUAUGAUAUUGUGAGCCUAUGGAACGGCUCUUGACUUGAAUUUCUUAUGUGUGAUGUUGGGUUGUGGUUGAGGAAAAAUAAUGAAGCCAAAAUGGCUGGAAAAUUAGGUAAACACAAAGGGCGUGCUGCCCAAAUUUUCGCUCGAGGGCUAGGUUUCUAUUUGAACUUGUAUACUUUUGUUUGGCCAAUACCAUGACCGGUUUUCCAUUUUAAAACAUGAUUUUUCAUCCUGGGGUUCAAACAACCCUCUUCUUACUUGAAAGCCAUCUUUACACGUUUUACUCCUAAUUAGUCGGGUUUCUUUGUUUCCAUUGUAAAUGUUUUGCUCGAUAAACUGUAAUAUGUUCUCUUGUUCAACCUUAGGUUUCAUUGGUGACUAAGGGUAAUAUCCGGAAGGAUAUUUUGCACGUUAUUUUGCAUAUCUAGGUGAGUGUUCCUUAUUUGACUUUAUGGCUUGUUGUUAUCAUUUGCUAAUGUGUUAAUUGCUUUUAAUGAUUUCCAAAACGAGCUUUCUAGGCGAGUGUGUACUUUAUCGCACUCGACCUAAAUAACUAUGCAAUUUUCAAGGAUUUAAUGGUUGAAAUGUUACUUGCGCAUGAAUGUAAGCCUUUUGGGCUGAACUGGCCAUUGCCCUUGUUACCGGUCGUCUCGAGCCAGAAGCGGACUCGGUCGGACGAUUAGGGACUUGGGUGAACGUUUGGUAUACUCGAGUAUUACCCUAUAGGUUGGUGGAGACUGGCCAACGACCAGGACGGGGGUGAAUGAAUGAAUGAACGAACGAACGAACGAACGAGGGUUUAUUGAUAAACGAAAAAUGCAUUUUCAAAUGAUUGGAGGAAUAAGGGGAAAUGUCAGGAGAACGAAUGAACGAAUGAACGAAUUGCUCCUUGUGAGCCGUAUCCUUUUAAUGAAUGUUACUAUUGCUUUCCAUUGUAAAUGUUUCUUGAAUUAUUGAUACUCCAUGUUUAAUGUAUUGAAUUGAUUGUUUGAUUGUUUGAUUAUCUGUUUGGAACCUCACUGAGCUUUUAGCUCACCCCUUUAGUUUUGUUUUCCUUAACAGGGGACGGCGAGCAGGAUGAGAGCAUAGACUAGCCUAGUCUAGGUCUUUUGUUUCUU
This 2046-nucleotide long non-coding RNA is filed under the name Coffea arabica (coffee). RNAcentral describes it as "long non-coding RNA (CARA_LNC002245)". The record is from RNAcentral. Lineage: Eukaryota; Viridiplantae; Streptophyta; Magnoliopsida; Gentianales; Rubiaceae.